This is a long non-coding RNA of Esox lucius (northern pike), 1359 nucleotides long. Lineage: Eukaryota; Metazoa; Chordata; Actinopteri; Esociformes; Esocidae. The record is from Ensembl.
GUGAUCCGCCAACGUCACACUUGUCUCCGGCGCCACCACACCGACCAGUCCCAGGAAGAGAGAUCCAACUCUGUUGCCGUGGCAGGAGCAGUGAUGGGGGCAGUCCUUGCCCUUUUCCUCAUAGCCGUCUUCACCAUCGUCAUCCUCACAGCACGGAAGACCUCUCCCCCAGCGUACACAGACAAAGUGAUUGAUCUACCUCCGACACACAAGCCCCCCCCUCCGUACAUAGAGAGACCCCCAGCCAUCCCUCUAGCUGUUCACGCACCACAGGUGGCCUCCCUGUCACAGGCUCGCAGGGCUGAGCGGCGCUUUGAGAUGGCCGAGAAAACCCCCGCCAGGCUCAUGCACCGGGAACCCCAAAGCCCCUCCCACCAGCCUCUGUCCUAUCAGGAGUGGGUCUGUCACCAAAAUGGGGCGGAUCGCGUCUACAUCAACCACCGGGAACACUAUGUUUAAAGGGGCAUAUUCUGAUCCUUGGACCUGUUAAUCAAUGACUUACACCACCCCAAACCAACCCCACAGAGGCUCAGGGUGGACAGCCUUUUCAGACACAGCUCAUGAUUUGACCAAGCCUUCCUAAAUGAGAGUCUACUCCACGUUUAAACUCCUUUGAGAGCAGCAGUUACCGCCUGCAAGAAGCAAGACUAAUGAGGCUGAAGCAUAAACUGCUAAGUGUCUCUGAGGAACAACCAACCCAGACACCUCCUCCACUCUCCUCCCCUGAACCACCACACACUUGUUCUGUUCCCAACCACAUCAAGGAACAGGAUAACAGCAGAGGAGGAGGAAGACACAUUGGGACAGUACCACACAAGAAGUUAAAACAGCACACUAAGCUCUUGUGUAGUGUACUGAAAUUGAAUAAUAUGAAAACACUGUGCUCUAUCAUGGAUAGAAGAGAUGUGUAUAACUAUGUCACAGUUGCUAUGGUGAUAUUAUAGUGAUGGCAUAAUCCUGUGUACUGUUAUGCUCUUUAAAUUAGAAUUAGAAAGAAAUUAUUUAAAUACCAGACAUAUCUCUGGCUCUGGUAAACAAGCAGUGUUACCACAGCAUUUACAGUGUAAUAUCAAGCAUUACAUUAAUUAUAGUAGAUAGUAACAUAUAAUGUAAUCCAGUCAUACUCUAUUGUGUCAUAUGUUCAGAUAAGAUGAAUGUAGGGUAGUUCAGGGGCUUUGAGAAGUCAACUGAAUCAUAGACAAGGGGAAUGAACCAUGUGGACUGUUCUUUUGUCUGUUGAGAAAAGCAUAUUUUUAUUAUUUCAUUGUGUAUAACACAUUUUCCAACUUUUUUGUGCCAUUUUAAUAUUUGAAAGGAGAUGCUCUCAACAGUAGAUAUGCUUUUUUAUUCUAAUUAUUC